UUCACACAUUCUCUGUUCUCUCUCGGUCUCUCUCUCUCUCUCUCUCUAUUUCCCAUUUCUCACACGUAGCUCUAGGGUUUUACAGAGAAAAAAUUUUGUUGUCAAAAAUCAAAAUCAAUUAACAAACUGAUUUAUUUUAGUUUAGCGAAUAAGAAUCAUUCAGAAGCAUUGAUUCAUAAGUGCAUUCAUAAAUCUAUAACUAUUACAUAAAAGAACGGAAGCAUACACCUCAAUUGAAUCUAACGCUAUCUUAUUGUCCAUUUCACCCUUCUUGUGCAAAGAGAAUAUUAGUUGAACCAGGUGGCUAUCUUGUUCACAUCGUUUGAAGAUUGAAGGUCGAUCCUAGAAAUUUCCUAUUCGCUGAGUCGUAUUUGAACGAAAUCAUCAGCCACUGCUCUCACUGUGGCCUAUUAAGAGAGGAAAUCACCGGAGGUACAACACCUACACUAGCUCCCCGCUUCAUCACCAUCGCCGUGCUACAGAGAUGAAGAUAUAGGUUGGCAACCUAGAAUCCAAGAAGGGGCAGCUGAUUGGGAUGAAAAUUGGGACAAGUUUGAAGAUGAAGGGAAUCUGAAGCCAACAUGUGCAAGUUGUAGUUGUUUUAUAAUUUUGAUGAACUCUUGCCACUUUCGAGUUUCACAUUUGUCAAAGAGCUCACUCUUAAUGUGGAAAAUGUUGUGGCUCCUCUUCAGUUGUUAGUAAAGCAUCUUCCACAAAAGAGGGUGUACAUGUUUCAUUAACAAAUGCUGAUCAUAACUCAGAAACGCCACCAAAUGGAGGGGAAAGGAUUGCCGAUGAUGCUCAUAGCGAAGACAGCGUAGAACUUCAGUGCAAAUGGUUCACGCAUGCUAGAGAGACCUAGAGGUACAAGUUUUAAUUUGCAUCUUUUUGGUAUUUUCCUUCUACGUUGGAUUUGAAAUUUUUUAUUGGUGUCCGAACCUUUAAACCAUUGCACGGCAUCUAUCUACACCUAUUGUUUUAUUUGAAAAUCUGAAUUUCUACAUGAUUUUAUUAGUGCACUGAACACGGGGGUGUUGAAUCUGUGUUCUCUGGGGACAGAAGUGUUGAUGAACGAAACUAGGGUGCAUUUGACGCUCAUGAUACCGACUUAGGCUGGGACUUCAGUUCUGGUCCUAUAAAGGUUUUGAUUUGUAAUAUUAGGAGACUUAGCAGCUGAGGACGUGGUGUUUGGAUACUUUGAAGGACUUCAUUCUGAUGUGGAAAAAGGACUGAAGACCUUUUCUUUAGAAACUCUAUUUUUGCUUUCAGUGUUGCUUUCUGCAAUAAAGAGAGUAUUGCAAAGAUGUCUUUUGGCAUGGAUUUGUGGAUAUUCCAUUUUUGUGUACGGAGGACAAUUUCCACUUUUGUAUAAUCCCACUUUUUUGUUGUCCUUUGCUUUUUGUCUGGAUUUGUAUUACUUGUACAGAAUGCUUUUGACGUGGUACAUAAUACUUUUCGCAUGGAACAGACAAUUAUUGCCGUGAUAUAUAGAUCACCUUUUGAUGCCAAAUGGAUAUUUGGCACAGUAGUAAAUAUAUUUUUGUGCA
Non-coding RNA from Camellia sinensis, 1547 nucleotides. The record is from RefSeq and is a predicted model, not a curated record. NCBI's taxonomy places the organism in Eukaryota, Viridiplantae, Streptophyta, Magnoliopsida, Ericales, Theaceae.